UCGAACCGUCGACACGAGCUGUUGCUGGCCUUCGAAAGGGGGCACGUGCACGCUCUGUUUACACAUCCACUCACACCUGUGCACCCUCUGUAGUUCUAUGGCCUCGGGGACCCCGUCUCCCUGCUGUGGUCCUACGUCUUUACACACACACCGUAACAAAGUCUCAUGGAAUGCAUGCCGCGUUUAACGCAAUACAAUA
RNAcentral lists this unclassified non-coding RNA (199 nucleotides) under uncultured Thelephoraceae. RNAcentral's name for it is "sequence contains ITS1". Lineage: Eukaryota; Fungi; Basidiomycota; Agaricomycetes; Thelephorales; Thelephoraceae. The record is from RNAcentral.